CUAACGGCGUGCCUCGGCAU
This 20-nucleotide non-coding RNA is filed under the name Arabidopsis thaliana (thale cress). Lineage: Eukaryota; Viridiplantae; Streptophyta; Magnoliopsida; Brassicales; Brassicaceae. The record is from RNAcentral.